CAGUAGCCGCGGUAAUACGUAAGGGGCAAGCGUUAUCCGGAUUUACUGGGUGUAAAGGGAGCGCAGACGGCAAUGCAAGUCUGAAGUGAAAGGCGUGGGCUCAACCCACGAACUGCUUUGGAAACUGUAUAGCUUGAGUGUCGGAGGGGUAAGCGGAAUUCCUAGUGUAGCGGUGAAAUGCGUAGAUAUUAGGAGGAACACCGGAGGCGAAGGCGGCUUACUGGACGACAACUGACGUUGAGGCUCGAAGGCGUGGGGAGCAAACAGGAUUAGAUACCCGUGUAGUCCCUGUCUCUUAUAC
Molecule: ribosomal RNA, 301 nt
Filed under: uncultured bacterium
Lineage: Bacteria
Description: partial 16S ribosomal RNA
Rfam family: Bacterial small subunit ribosomal RNA
Source: RNAcentral